CUGAACAGGGUUCUCAAAUGGGAGAGGAAGGAGGAUAGGCCCUGUGACCCUUGAUACCCAGAGUGGGACCAAAACAGUCACCUAGUAGCAGAUAAGCAGAACCCUGUUCCUGUGGCCCCAAAUGAACUCAGAGCCUUUUGUAAUGUUACAGCUUGGCUAGCAGAAAAUUUAAAAUGCUUGAACCAUUUGAAAGGGCUUCAAGUCAAGUUGUUGCCAUAAAAACACUGGGACCCAGAAGAUACUAAGAAAAAGAAAAAAAAAAGACAGAAUUUCCUUUUCUGGUAGAGCUGCUCAUAAAAGGAAAGCAAGCUCUUUGCUGCCCAGGAGAGAAAAAUGUGUAUAAAGAGUAACAGAAGAGAUGAAGUGAUUGUCAUGGGAUUUAUGUCACUUGGGCCUGGAAAUCACCUGAGAGGCAGAGGUUUGCUUAAAAGCAGGAGAAUCACUAACUUUGGACUAGAAACAAACAAACAAGUCAAAAUCAUUCAGUCUAAUAAUUUAAGACAGAAAAAUGGAGACCUAGACAGUGAGGUGGCUUCCUGAAGGUCACCUGUCUGAAGAGAGGCAGUGGCAGAGCCAGAGGCAGUGGCAGAGCCAGAGGCGGUAGCCGGGCCUCAGUUCCAGUCCGCUGCUGGCAGCUCUGCCCGCCUGGCUGAGGCCCGGGGAAGCACGUGAACCAGAGAGGCGGGAAGCGCAAAGCAUCUUUGGGGGUAAACAGAGAAGCAAAGCUACCGAAGAAGGUUUGUUUGGAAGAAAGCGCCACCGAAGGUUGAGAAAGUGGGUGAUUUGAAACCCUCCUAGGACUUGGGCUACAGCUUGAAGGCAAUGGGGAAUCCAGGAGCACACCUGAGGAAGGGACGGCUCGGCUUGCGGGAUCUCAUUUCCCCGACCAGGGAUUGAACCCAGACCACGUCAGUGAAAGCGCCGAAUCCUAACCACCAGACCCCAGCGGACCUGCCCUGGUUUCUCAGUCUUGACACCUCUGAGAUAGGGGGUGGAGUGGAACUCAUAACACAGCUUUCUCCAAAGAAAUUCUCAUCUAAAAUCUUACCCUCAACUCUUUUGCCACUUACUUUGUAAAUCCUGGUGUAGCACUUCACUUUGGAAUUUGGUAUUUAUUGUGAUUCAGCUGAAACUUCUAUUUUAAUAUCUGCUUUCAUUUGAUUUAGGAUACAUCUUG
This is a long non-coding RNA of Physeter macrocephalus (sperm whale), 1177 nucleotides long. RefSeq lists it as uncharacterized. The record is from RefSeq and is a predicted model, not a curated record. The transcript is spliced from 3 exons. Lineage: Eukaryota; Metazoa; Chordata; Mammalia; Artiodactyla; Physeteridae.